UCGAGCGUCAUUUCAACCCUCAAGUAAAACUUGGUAUUGGGCCCUUUGCUGGAAAGCAGGCCUGGAAAUUAACGGCGGUCCAUUGAGGCUUUAAGCGUAGUAAAUUUAUUUUCGCUUUGAAAGUUCUUGAUAUGGCCAGCUACAACAAAUAAAUUCAAUGGUUUGACCUCGGAUCAGGUAAGGAUACCCGCUGAACUUAA
This 200-nucleotide unclassified non-coding RNA is filed under the name soil metagenome. Its description in RNAcentral is "partial contains internal transcribed spacer 2 and large subunit ribosomal RNA". The record is from RNAcentral.